RNAcentral lists this ribosomal RNA (537 nucleotides) under uncultured bacterium. RNAcentral's name for it is "bacterial SSU rRNA". It matches the Rfam family "Bacterial small subunit ribosomal RNA", at positions 777 to 1312 of the family's 1533-position model. The record is from RNAcentral.
AAUAGAUACCCCGGUAGUCCACGCCGUAAACGAUGAGUGCUAAGUGUUAGAGGGUUUCCGCCCUUUAGUGCUGCAGCUAACGCAUUAAGCACUCCGCCUGGGGAGUACGGUCGCAAGACUGAAACUCAAAGGAAUUGACGGGGGCCCGCACAAGCGGUGGAGCAUGUGGUUUAAUUCGAAGCAACGCGAAGAACCUUACCAGGUCUUGACAUCCUCUGACAACUCUAAAGAUAGAGCGUUCCCCUUCGGGGGACAGAGUGACAGGUGGUGCACGGUUGUCGUCAGCUCGUGUCGUGAGAUGUUGGGUUAAGUCCCGCAACGAGCGCAACCCUUGAUCUUAGUUGCCAGCAUUUAGUUGGGCACUCUAAGGUGACUGCCGGUGACAAACCGGAGGAAGGUGGGGAUGACGUCAAAUCAUCAUGCCCCUUAUGACCUGGGCUACACACGUGCUACAAUGGAUGGUACAAAGGGCUGCAAGACCGCGAGGUCAAGCCAAUCCCAUAAAACCAUUCUCAGUUCGGAUUGUAGGCUGCAACC